RNAcentral lists this ribosomal RNA (655 nucleotides) under Entomortierella parvispora. RNAcentral's name for it is "eukaryotic LSU rRNA". It matches the Rfam family "Eukaryotic large subunit ribosomal RNA", at positions 98 to 628 of the family's 3401-position model. The record is from RNAcentral. Lineage: Eukaryota; Fungi; Mortierellomycota; Mortierellomycetes; Mortierellales; Mortierellaceae.
GCGGGAUGAGCUCAAAUUUAAAAUCUGGCUGGUUUACUAGUCCGAAUUGUAGUUUAAAGAAGCGUUUUCGGUGGCAGUCUCGGUAUAAAUCCUUUGGAAUAGGGUAUCAUAGAGGGUGAGAAUCCCGUCUUUGACUGAGAAUUUGCUACUAUGUGAUACGUUUUCAAAGAGUCGAGUUGUUUGGGAAUGCAGCUCAAAAUGGGUGGUAAAUUUCAUCUAAAGCUAAAUAUUGGCGAGAGACCGAUAGCGAACAAGUACCGUGAGGGAAAGAUGAAAAGAACUUUGAAAAGAGAGUUAAACAGUGCGUGAAAUUGUUGAAAGGGAAACGCUUGAAACCAGUCAUGUAGUUGGAAAAUCAGUGUUUGGGUGGGGGGAAUGGGGGAGGUGUGGACCGCAAGGCCGCUCUUUCUUAUAUCUCUCUAGUCAGGCAUGCACUUUUUCUUCCGCAGGUCAACAUCAGUUUCUUUUGCUGGACAAAACUCUUGAGAAGGUAGCAGCUUAGGCUGUGUUAUAGCUCUGGAGCGAUACAGUGGAGGGGACUGAGGUUUUCGCAGCAUGUGCUCUCGGGCAAGGCCUGCUGGGCGCUAUGGGAUCGUUCGGGGUACAAUACAUGUAUUUUGCCUCGUGUCCUUUCUAUACUCGUUUAGUUGUGCUC